This 491-nucleotide long non-coding RNA is filed under the name Panax ginseng (ginseng). RNAcentral's name for it is "long non-coding RNA (PGIN_LNC004607)". The record is from RNAcentral. Lineage: Eukaryota; Viridiplantae; Streptophyta; Magnoliopsida; Apiales; Araliaceae.
ACUGAUAUGUUAAGAGAAUUUCGUAGGUUUAAGCUUGGGAGAAUGAAGCUAAGUGCUUGUGAAUAAAUAGGCCAAAAAUGGUGCAUUUCUCUCUCUUGGAUCCAUAAAAUAAUGCAUGAAAUGAUUAUAAUGGCUGAUUGAUGGUAAUACUACAGCCUAUAGGUGAUUUCUAGAUGGAUUGGCCGGAUUUUGUGGACAAGUGGUAGCAAUAAGACAUAAAUAAUGCAUUUUCCCUUUUCUUUAAUUUAUAAAUUUUUUUUUUAAAUACAUUGGAUGCUAAAGUGGGAUUAUUCCCUUGUUUGAUAGUUGAUAGCAUAAUUAAUAUGCUAUGACCUAAUUGACCGUCAUUGCUCAAUAAUAUCUGUCCGCACAUACACAGUACAUCAUUAUUGUACUAUAAAAUCAUUAUAACAAUAAUAUAAUAUUAUUAUUCUCAUCUCUUGAUCACAAUCCCAAUUCAGGGUUUGGAUCUCAUAUCUGACUUCUCUUUC